CUUCCAAAUAUGGUGACCAAUAAAAAGCAAGUUCAGGUUAAACGUCAAAGGUAGCUCUAGGCAAAGUUUUGCCUUUACUGUCAUUUACUGUUACUGUUCCUUCCACUUAUUCAUCCUGCCUCAAACUCUGUGAUUUGGGAAUAAAAGUGAUGAAUAAAGUCCCCAUCAAGAGGAUAACAAUUUAUUAUUCAUCUUACAAAAAUCUCCUUCUUACGAAGAAUCUGCUCCCCAAUGAAGCUUACCUUGACUGUCACAGGAAGAUUACUCAGGUAUGUGACCAACCACUGUACCUUGUACAGAUCACUUUUGACAUAAGUUUAGAUAAGAACAGGUAUGAUAAAUUAAAUGCAUAUUUUGGUCAUCAAAAUGAAUACAGAUGUGGUGAUUAUAAGGGUUCAAUAAGUACACACUGAAUAAACAAGGACAUAGUUAUCUCUUCCUAGGAGAUAUUGAAAUGGAAUAAAAUAAGAUGUGAUAAAUUACUCUGGUAUCUG
RNAcentral lists this long non-coding RNA (494 nucleotides) under Sus scrofa (pig). RNAcentral's name for it is "lncRNA (ENSSSCG00030059207.1, ENSSSCG00050053700.1)". Lineage: Eukaryota; Metazoa; Chordata; Mammalia; Artiodactyla; Suidae. The record is from RNAcentral.